Molecule: unclassified non-coding RNA, 394 nt
Filed under: soil metagenome
Description: partial contains 5.8S ribosomal RNA, internal transcribed spacer 2, and large subunit ribosomal RNA
Rfam family: 5.8S ribosomal RNA (bases 5-121)
Source: RNAcentral
GAUGAGAACGUAGCGAAAUGCGAUACUUGGUGUGAAUUGCAGAAUCCCGUGAACCAUCGAGUCUUUGAACGCAAGUUGCGCCCGAAGCCAUCAGGUUGAGGGCACGUCUGCCUGGGCGUCACAUAUCGUUGCCCAAUGCCUAUUGCAGUGCAAUAGGAAUUUCUAGGGCGAAUGAUGGCUUCCCGUGAGCGUUGUUGCCUCGCGGUUGGUUGAAAAUCGAGUCCUUGGUAGGGUGUGCCAUGGUAGAUGGUGGUCGAGUUAGAACGAUACCGAUCAUGUGCAUGCUCCCCAAAAUAUGGCCUCUAUGACCCACACGCGUCUUUUGACGCUCAUGACGAGACCUCAGGUCAGGCGGGGCUACCCGCUGAAUUUAAGCAUAUCAAUAAGCGGAGGA